CACGGGGGGGACAAGCGUUGUUCGGAUUUACUGGGCGUAAAGCGCUCGUAGGCGGUCUCGCAAGUCGAAUGUGAAAACCGAAGGCUCAACCAUCGGCCUGCAUUUGAAACUGUGAGUCUAGAGUACUGGAGAGGAUGGCGGAAUUCCUGGUGUAGCGGUGAAAUGCGUAGAUAUCAGGAGGAACACCGGCGGCGAAGGCGGCCAUCUGGACAGAUACUGACGCUGAGGAGCGAAGGCUAGGGUAGCAAACAGGAUUAGAUACCCCAGUA
Molecule: ribosomal RNA, 269 nt
Filed under: uncultured prokaryote
Description: partial 16S ribosomal RNA
Rfam family: Bacterial small subunit ribosomal RNA
Source: RNAcentral